AAACUACUGAAGUUAUCUGAACAGCAAAAAGGAUGGGGGGGAAGAAGGAACAUAAUAGCGAACCAGAGACAUUAAAAGUGGUUAAAGAUAACAUAAUAAGUAAUGUAAUCAAGCAGUAGGAGUAAAUGAGGCUUCAAGAGUAGAAAAACGUUUGUAGAAAAGAUAGUAGAGUCUAAAAUCAGUUAGUUUUUAUUGAAAGGUUUUAUUACCUUGUGCUGUGUGGAGUUUCACUCUGCUUAUCCCAAUGGAGGCUCUGAUCCUCAGAAAUACACAUAAUAUCCAAAAAAACGGGGCAAAUAGCAAAGAACUCUUGAAAAAGGAAAGUUAAGCCCAAAAAUAAUGGUUAAAGCGUUCAAUGCAGAAAAACUCUACAGCUAAUAACUUGUAAUUAUCUAAAUAUUAUUAAUAUUAUUAUUGAAUUAUUUAAAUAAUAAAGAGAAGUAGUAGCUUCUGUUAUAAAAGCAUGUUAUUCAAUUGACUCAUUCCAGCUGGAAAAAACUAUUUUUUUUUAAUUAAGUUUCAGGAAAUAUCUAGAACUUUAAAGAAAACUUCUCAAACUAUUUGAGGAGACAGGCACAUAAAGGGAAAACAAAACAUUAAUUUCCUGUCACUUGAGGCUUUAUAUGCAUCUUUUUUUAUCUCAAUCCAACGUCAUUAUAGGUUUUUUAAUAUUUAAUGUGAAGUAUUUGACCUAGGCAGAAACAAGAAGUGGAUUUUCUGCAUAGAGCAUUCAGAAUGACCGUCAAAUUACAACUAAUGGCGGUGCUGAGGUUUAUUAAAACUCCUGUGGUUCACUUAGCCAAAGAGCUUUCUGGCUCCACCAGGAAUGACAUAUUGUCACUACUGUUAACAUUUUCAAAGAUUAAAUUAAAAAGGUAUUUAGUAUAAAGCAACUGACGUAUACAGAGAAAGGUCAAAAUAUUCCUAGGCAGGAACAGUAAAAAAAAACCUAUCUUUUGAUUGUCAUUUUCCAUCACACAACAGACAUGCCGACAAGGAUUUCAGUGCAUCCCGGUGGAGGAUCACUAGUUCUAUUUUACCUCCACGUGAUGGCUCUUGCCAUGGUGUCUGCUUCUACACAGCUGUAAGCACUGCUGGAAUGGAACCAACCUGUCGGUGAUCGUCUAGCUAUGCACAGCUUGUCCCAGAGGCUGUCACUUGAAUAGCACCUGAAAUUUCAGUCUUCACCUCAGAAAUUAUUUAUUGUGAAGACUACAUGCAUUAAAAUCUUAAGAGAGCUAGAUUUCUCCUUUAUCUUCCCACAGAAUAUCAUAUUACCAGCAGGGUUUGUGUCUUAUGCUUGCAUAUGCUCUUGCACCCUCCAGACACGUCCACAGAGGAAAGGCUUCCCAUGUUCUGAGCUGAACACUUUUUAAACCCUGGUUUUCCUCCCAAAAGUUCCAGUAUGAUUAAAAAUAAAUGUUGUGAAACAGAUUUAUGCUGGUGUAAAAUCAGAGGCAGCAUGGAUUAGCUGAUCUUUUAGGAAUGAAUUUUCUCACUCCCAAUCUAAAAGAUUGAAGAGCGAACAAGGUUGAAGUGGAAUAUGAUCACUGGCAAUAAACAAUAGGAAUCGAUACUAUAGCAGAAAUGUCUUCCAAAAGUAGUGCAGCAGAUUGCCAAGGUUUCCCCCACUCCCCAAACUGAUUAAUUGCUGUAGAGUAUGGACACAGUCAACGCUGCAAACGAGAGGAAUAAAUUAUAGGAUUGAGCUGGGGGUGGUGAACUCUGGUCCUCUGAUACAUCAAAGGACAGUUCCCUUCCCUGGCGUUCCUCACAACAUGAUGGCAGCCACCAUUUGCCUCUUUGAUUUUACAGUUAAAAUGCACAUACUUUGUUUAAAGGAAACAGAAAAGCCAAGACUGGAAUUUGGACAGGACAGCUAUGAACACAAGUUUUCCUCUCAGAAAAAGAAAGAAAUGGUGUCAGGGAGGAAUGGAUUUGGCAUGAAAGCUAAAAUCCUGAAAGAUACGCAUUGCAGACCAUCCACUGGAAAAGUGUCCCCUGAUGAAAAAGGUCUUUCUCUGUUGCUUUACAACUUACACAGACCUGGGAAUCAACGGGGAUAUAGUUACCUCCUUGGCUUUAUUUUAACAGCUCACACUAUGAUGAAAGUCCUGCUCCACAAGAGCAGUUAAUUUGGAAUCAUUAGAGCCAGUGUAAACUUUCAGAGCUUAAUACAGCCUUUUUUCUUUUUUUUUGUACAUUAAGUUUUAAAAAAAUAGAAGUAAAAAUGUGAAAUGUUCCCAGGAUGAGAUCUUGCCUGCCAAGAUCUACAUAGAUCAAUUUUUUUUUUUUUCUGGGCAAGUUACAAUUCCUUUUAAAUUGUUUGCUUAAUGGAAAUAAAAAU
Gallus gallus (chicken) is the source of this 2347-nucleotide long non-coding RNA. NCBI's taxonomy places the organism in Eukaryota, Metazoa, Chordata, Aves, Galliformes, Phasianidae. The record is from Ensembl.